This 332-nucleotide ribosomal RNA is filed under the name uncultured eukaryote. Its description in RNAcentral is "partial 18S ribosomal RNA". It matches the Rfam family "Eukaryotic small subunit ribosomal RNA", at positions 1470 to 1796 of the family's 1831-position model. The record is from RNAcentral.
CCCUUAGAUGUUCUGGGCUGCACACGUGCUACACUGGCAGGUUCAGCGAGCUUCAUGCCCUGAUCUGAAAGGUAUGGGAAAUCUUUUCAAAACCUGCCGUGCUUGGGAUAGAUGUUUGCAAUUAUUCAUCUUCAACGAGGAUUGCCUUGUAAGCGCACGUCAUCAGCGUGCAUUGAAUACGACCCUGUAUUCUGUACACACCGCCCGUCGCUCCUACCGAUUGAAGUUUUCGGUGAGUUGACAGGAGGAUUUUUUUGAAACUGGUUCGCCAGUGGAUUUUAGAUCCAAAUGCCAACGAAUCGAUGGCUUUAGAGGAAGGAGAAGUCGUAACA